This 249-nucleotide ribosomal RNA is filed under the name uncultured bacterium. RNAcentral describes it as "partial 16S ribosomal RNA". It matches the Rfam family "Bacterial small subunit ribosomal RNA", at positions 57 to 305 of the family's 1533-position model. The record is from RNAcentral.
GCAAGUCAAGGAUAAGCUCUGCUUCGGUAGAGUGGACACUGGCGCACGGGUGAGUAACGCGUAUGCAAUCUACCCUCAGUUCGGGGAUAACAUUUCUAACGAAGUGCUAAUACCCGAUGAAGCAGCGGCACCGCAUGGUGACAGUUGUUAAAGUUUCGGUGACUGAGGAUGAGCAUGCGUCCCAUUAGGUAGUUGGUAGAGUAACGGCCUACCAAGCCAUCGAUGGGUAGCUGGUCUGAGAGGAUGAUC